Molecule: long non-coding RNA, 155 nt
Organism: Lemur catta (Ring-tailed lemur)
Lineage: Eukaryota; Metazoa; Chordata; Mammalia; Primates; Lemuridae
Exons: 3
Source: RefSeq, a predicted model, not a curated record
CGAAGAGGCCCUUGUGCGCUCAGGUCACUACACAGUCUCCAGAGAGAAGGGCUCGUGGAGGAGUCAGCAGACCUCCUGGAACAGAGGUGCUGUGAUCGACCCCUCUGCUCAUUGUUCUCAGCCAGUGGCUCCUCUGUCAGGUGAAAGGAAAAGGU